AUAUGAAGUGCACACCCCAAAUGUACUAUUUAGCACCAAAAAAAUUUGACGUUUUAAAUCUCUGAUGUAACCACAGUAUUUGAUGCUUCUAUUUGACUCUCAGAUAUGAAGUGCACCCCACUAAUAUACUAUUUUGCAGAAUUCUUUCCUAAUCUGUCCCUAAAGCGGCAGCAUCCUCUCCCUACACUAAUAAGAGCUCAUGUGACGGGUG
This is a non-coding RNA of Pelobates cultripes (western spadefoot toad), 211 nucleotides long. The record is from the annotation of a GenBank genome assembly. NCBI's taxonomy places the organism in Eukaryota, Metazoa, Chordata, Amphibia, Anura, Pelobatidae.